AGUCUAGUAUGAAGAUGAAACGUAUAAAUAUUGUCUCUAAGCUUACUAACUAUAAAUUAAUAUAAGGGAUGAAAAUAUCCUUAACCCAAAUAAUAGACGAGAAGACCCUUAGAAUUUUUAUAAAAAUUUCCAAUUUAAGUAAGUUUUCUUUUUGUUGGGGCAACAUUAUUUCAUAACUAAAUAAAUCAAACAAUAGAAAACUAAACAUUCCGAUUUAUAUUUAAGAUUAAAUUACCUAAGGGAUAACAGCAUAAUUUAUGAAUAAGUUUGUGACUUCGAUGUUGGA
RNAcentral lists this ribosomal RNA (286 nucleotides) under Muticaria cyclopica. RNAcentral's name for it is "partial large subunit ribosomal RNA". Lineage: Eukaryota; Metazoa; Mollusca; Gastropoda; Stylommatophora; Clausiliidae. The record is from RNAcentral.